GAUCUGAUAGCACAAUGGUUAAUGCGUCUGCUCUACUUCAGGCAUACGCAGAAGGUCACCCGUUCGAUUCGGGGUCGGGUCA
Molecule: non-coding RNA, 82 nt
Organism: Mycena alexandri
Lineage: Eukaryota; Fungi; Basidiomycota; Agaricomycetes; Agaricales; Mycenaceae
Source: the annotation of a GenBank genome assembly